Molecule: ribosomal RNA, 429 nt
Filed under: Gemmatimonadota bacterium
Lineage: Bacteria; Pseudomonadati; Gemmatimonadota
Description: Gemmatimonadetes bacterium partial 16S ribosomal RNA
Rfam family: Bacterial small subunit ribosomal RNA
Source: RNAcentral
UAGGGAAUCUUCGGCAAUGGACGAAAGUCUGACCGAGCAACGCCGCGUGUGCGAAGAAGGUUUUCGGAUCGUAAAACUCUGUUGUUAGAGAAGAACAAGGACGUUAGUAACUGAACGUCCCCUGACGGUAUCUAACCAGAAAGCCACGGCUAACUACGUGCCAGCAGCCGCGGUAAUACGUAGGUGGCAAGCGUUGUCCGGAUUUAUUGGGCGUAAAGCGAGCGCAGGCGGUUUCUUAAGUCUGAUGUGAAAGCCCCCGGCUCAACCGGGGAGGGUCAUUGGAAACUGGGAGACUUGAGUGCAGAAGGGGAGAGUGGAAUUCCAUGUGUAGCUGUGAAAUGCGUAGAUAUAUGGAGGAACACCAGUGGCUAAGGCGGCUCUCUGGUCUGUAACUGACGCUGAGGCUCGAAAGCGUGGGGAGCAAACAAG